RNAcentral lists this long non-coding RNA (1155 nucleotides) under Piliocolobus tephrosceles (Ugandan red Colobus). RNAcentral describes it as "lncRNA (ENSPTEG00000038617.1)". The record is from RNAcentral. Lineage: Eukaryota; Metazoa; Chordata; Mammalia; Primates; Cercopithecidae.
GUAGGAAAGUUUCGGUUGAGGAGUAAGAGCGGCGGCGGGAGCAGUAACCCGCGCGGGGGAGGCCGACGUCGGUCGGAGAGGGGGUACGAGAGCUGCUGGUGGUGUUGUCGUGGCCGGGGCGGCCCGCGCCUGGGCUGCCGGCACUUCGCGGCAGGUUUGUUGUCUUUCAGUUCGGGAAGAGGUGGGGGUGGGGAAGGGAGGGGCAGGAGCGCAGGGGAUCGGGCAGCCGGAAGGGCUCGGGUCCUCGUUCCUCCUCCUCGGAGGGUUGCCCUUGGAGUGGGGGCAGUUAACCGUUCGAUUGGUGUCCGCGGCCAGCCCACCGGACCAGAGUCUCCCGCGAGUUCACCUCACCUGGGUUUCGGGACGGCGGCGCUAGGGGGUCUCGGGCGGGAGCCGGGAGGAGGCAGCGGGAGGGCGACGCUCGGGGUCGGGUCGCGCGGUGGGUGGCCGGGCCGGGUGUGGAGAUGGGGCGGGCCAGGGCGGGGGAAGGGGCCGACGCGGCGCCCGGGCUGCCCAGGAAAGUUUGACUUCAACUCCCCGCUUGUGGGCGGAGGGUCGGAGCUUGGCCAGGGGUGGGGGGCCGGCCUGAGGUGGGGGACCCCAGUGAGGCUCCGCCUCCUUCUGGACCGAAGGGGGCUCCUGCCGAGCCGGGGAGCUCGCGGAGCCGCUGGGCCCCGGGGCUCAUUGUUACGCAGUUCGAAUGAAUGGGCUCCCAGGCGCCUGCGCGCUGGGGCAGAGCCGAGGGGAAAAACAAGCCCGGAGUCCGGGCUGCGGUCACAUGAUGGGGGGAAGGGAGGGGAACGCGAUGAAUGGCGAAAGAGGGUGGGGGAUGGACUUGGCGUGAACCAAGAGGCGCUGCUCUGUGUGACCCAAAGAGGAGGCUUGGCAGGCGAUUCCAGCCUCCGCCUUUCAACCUAUGCUGCCGCCGCAGGCCGAUUGAAACAACAAAACAAGCCAGGCGAAGUCAACAGCCAGGUUUUUGUAGCUUUAAAUGCUGCGUGCUGUCUAGGGUAUUUCACUCUCCGCUGUGCACUCUGCACUCCAGAGUUCAUACUUAGGGAGUUAUCAGCUACUGUCGUUUUUAGAAGGAGCACUGACAGCGAGGUAAUACUCAAGUUUUCUGUUUGUUCUGUUUCUGGCUCACGUUGCCAUUGA